RNAcentral lists this ribosomal RNA (287 nucleotides) under unidentified marine bacterioplankton. Its description in RNAcentral is "partial 16S ribosomal RNA". It matches the Rfam family "Bacterial small subunit ribosomal RNA", at positions 56 to 339 of the family's 1533-position model. The record is from RNAcentral.
UGCAAGUCGAGGGGGUAACAGGGAGCUUGCUUCGCUGACGACCGGCGCACGGGUGCGUAGCGCGUAUAGAACCUACCUUUUACAGGGGAAUAGCCUUUAGAAAUGAAGAUUAAUGCCCCAUAGUAUUGUAGACUGGCAUCAGUUUUAUAAUUAAAGAUUUAUCGGUAAGAGAUGGCUAUGCGUCCUAUUAGUUAGUUGGUAAGGUAACGGCUUACCAAGACAUCGAUAGGUAGGGGUCCUGAGAGGGAGACCCCCCCACACUGGUACUGAGACACGGACCAGACUCC